CCUACGGGAGGCAGCAGUCGAGAAUCAUUCACAAUGGGGGAAACCCUGAUGGUGCGACGCCGCGUGGGGGAAUGAAGGUCUUCGGAUUGUAAACCCCUGUCAUGUGGGAGCAAAUUAAAAAGAUAGUACCACAAGAGGAAGAGACGGCUAACUCUGUGCCAGCAGCCGCGGUAAUACAGAGGUCUCAAGCGUUGUUCGGAAUCACUGGGCGUAAAGCGUGCGUAGGCUGUUUGGUAAGUCGUGUGUGAAAGGCGCGGGCUCAACCCGCGGACGGCACAUGAUACUGCGAGACUAGAGUAAUGGAGGGGGAACCGGAAGUCUCGGUGUAGCAGUGAAAUGCGGAGAUAUCGAGAGGAACACUCGUGGCGAAGGCGGGUUCCUGGACAUUAACGGACGCUGAGGCACGAAGGCCAGGGGAGCGAAAGGGAUUAGAUACCCGUGUAGUC
This 446-nucleotide ribosomal RNA is filed under the name uncultured bacterium. Its description in RNAcentral is "partial 16S ribosomal RNA". It matches the Rfam family "Bacterial small subunit ribosomal RNA", at positions 338 to 795 of the family's 1533-position model. The record is from RNAcentral.